GACGAACGCUGGCGGCGUGCCUAAUACAUGCAAGUUGAGCGCUGAAGGUUGGUACUUGUACCAACUGGAUGAGCAGCGAACGGGUGAGUGACGCGUGGGGAAUCUGCCUUUGAGCGGGGGACAACAUUUGGAAACGAAUGCUAAUACCGCAUAAAAACUUUAAACACAAGUUUUAAGUUUGAAAGAUGCAAUUGCAUCACUCAAAGAUGAUCCCGCGUUGUAUUAGCUAGUUGGUGAGGUAAAGGCUCACCAAGGCGAUGAUACAUAGCCGACCUGAGAGGGUGAUCGGCCACAUUGGGACUGAGACACGGCCCAAACUCCUAAGGGAGGCAGCAGUAGGGAAUCUUCGGCAAUGGACGAAAGUCUGAACGAGCAACGCCGCGUGAGUGAAGAAGGGUUUCGGAUCGUAAAACUCUGUUGGUAGAGAAGAACGUUGGUGAGAGUGGAAAGCUCAUCAAGUGACGGUAACUACACAGAAAGGGACGGCUAACUACGUG
RNAcentral lists this ribosomal RNA (497 nucleotides) under uncultured bacterium. RNAcentral describes it as "partial 16S ribosomal RNA". It matches the Rfam family "Bacterial small subunit ribosomal RNA", at positions 28 to 507 of the family's 1533-position model. The record is from RNAcentral.